AGUGAACGCUGGCGGUAGGCCUAACACAUGCAAGUCGAACGGCAGCACAGAGGAGCUUGCUCCUUGGGUGGCGAGUGGCGGACGGGUGAGGAAUACAUCGGAAUCUACUCUGGCGUGGGGGAUAACGUAGGGAAACUUACGCUAAUACCGCAUACGACCUACGGGUGAAAGCAGGGGAUCUUCGGACCUUGCGCGAGUGAAUGAGCCGAUGUCGGAUUAGCUAGUUGGCGGGGUAAAGGCCCACCAAGGCGACGAUCCGUAGCUGGUCUGAGAGGAUGAUCAGCCACACUGGAACUGAGACACGGUCCAGACUCCUACGGGAGGCAGCAGUGGGGAAAAUUGGACAAUGGGCGCAAGCCUGAUCCAGCCAUACCGCGUGGGUGAAGAAGGCCUUCGGGUUGUAAAGCCCUUUUGUUGGGAAAGAAAUCCAUCUGGUUAAUACCCGGGUGGGAUGACGGUACCCAAAGAAUAAGCACCGGCUAACUUCGUGCCAGCCGCCGCAGUAA
This 506-nucleotide ribosomal RNA is filed under the name uncultured bacterium. Its description in RNAcentral is "partial 16S ribosomal RNA". It matches the Rfam family "Bacterial small subunit ribosomal RNA", at positions 29 to 523 of the family's 1533-position model. The record is from RNAcentral.